GUCCCGUGUUCCGCAUUGGGGACCUCGUGGCCAAGGCUGGAGGGACCUUCGAGGACCUGGCGUUGCUGGGUGGCUCUGUGGGCAUCAGAGUUCACUGGGAUUGUGACCUGGACACCGGGGACUCUGGCUGCUGGCCUCACUACUCCUUCCAGCUGCAGGAGAAGAGCUACAACUUCAGGACAGCCACUCACUGGUGGGAGCAACCGGGUGUGGAGGCCCGCACCCUGCUCAAGCUCUAUGGAAUCCGCUUUGACAUCCUCGUCACCGGGCAGGCAGGGAAGUUCGGGCUCAUCCCCACGGCCGUCACACUGGGCACCGGGGCAGCUUGGCUGGGCGUGGUGAGUGCGAGCAUUGUGGGCACCUGCAGGCUGCAGUGAGUGCUGCUGACCAGGGUGUGUCCAAUGCAUGCUGGAGCCUCCGGUGCCUGCACAUUGAGUCUCGGGGUGCAGGCUGGGGAGGUGGCAGGAGAGCAGGCUCGGGGGCUGGAACAUGGGUUGGCCCUGCCUCUCCCAGGUCACCUUUUUCUGUGACCUGCUACUGCUGUAUGUGGAUAGAGAAGCCCAUUUCUACUGGAGGACAAAGUAUGAGGAGGCCAAGGCCCCGAAAGCAACCACCAACUCUGUGUGGAGGGAGCUGGCCCUUGCAUCCCAAGCCCGACUGGCCGAGUGCCUCAGACAGAGCUCAGCACCUGCACCCAUGGCCACUGCUGCUGGGAGUCAGACACAGACACCAGGAUGGCCCUGUCCAAGUUCUGACACCCACUUGCCAA
RNAcentral lists this small RNA (769 nucleotides) under Pan troglodytes (chimpanzee). RNAcentral describes it as "retained intron". The record is from RNAcentral. Lineage: Eukaryota; Metazoa; Chordata; Mammalia; Primates; Hominidae.